This 501-nucleotide ribosomal RNA is filed under the name uncultured bacterium. RNAcentral's name for it is "bacterial SSU rRNA". It matches the Rfam family "Bacterial small subunit ribosomal RNA", at positions 9 to 507 of the family's 1533-position model. The record is from RNAcentral.
GAGUUUGAUCAUGGCUCAGAUUGAACGCUGGCGGUAUGCUUAACACAUGCAAGUCGAACGGUAACAGGCCUUCGGGCGCUGACGAGUGGCAGACGGGUGAGUAACGCGUAGGAAUCUGCCUCAUAGUGGGGGACAACGUGGGGAAACUCACGCUAAUACCGCAUACGCCCUACGGGGGAAAGCGGGGGAUCUUCGGACCUCGCGCUAUGAGAUGAGCCUGCGUUAGAUUAGCUAGUUGGUAGGGUAAAGGCCUACCAAGGCGACGAUCUAUAGUUGGGUCUGAGAGGACGAUCAGCCACACUGGGACUGAGACACGGCCCAGACUCCUACGGGAGGCAGCAGUGGGGAAUAUUGGACAAUGGGCGCAAGCCUGAUCCAGCAAUACCGCGUGUGUGAAGAAGGCCUUAGGGUUGUAAAGCACUUUCAAUUGGGAGGAAAACCUGCCGGUCAAUACCCGGUAGCUUGACAUUACCUUUAGAAGAAGCACCGGCUAACUCCGUG